Molecule: ribosomal RNA, 460 nt
Filed under: uncultured bacterium
Lineage: Bacteria
Description: partial 16S ribosomal RNA
Rfam family: Bacterial small subunit ribosomal RNA
Source: RNAcentral
CCUACGGGCGGCAGCAGUGAGGAAUCUUGGUCAAUGGACGAGAGUCUGAACCAGCCAAGUAGCGUGAAGGAUGACUGCCCUAUGGGUUGUAAACUUCUUUUAUAAAGGAAUAAAACGAGGCACGUAUGCCUUUUUGCAUGUACUUUAUGAAUAAGGAUCGGCUAACUCCGUGCCAGCAGCCGCGGUAAUACGGAGGUUACGAGCGUUAUCCGGAUUUAUUGGGUUUAAAGGGAGCGUAGAUGGGUUUUUAAGUCAGUUGUGAAAGGUUGCGGCUCAACCGUAAAAUGGCAAUUGAUACUGGCAGUCUUGAGUACAGUUGAGGUAAGCGGAAUUCGAGGUGUAGCGGUGAAAUGCUUAGAUAUCACGAAGAACCCCGAUUGCGAAGGCAGCUUACUAAACUGUGACUGACAUUGAUGCUCGAAAGUGUGGGUAUCAAACAGGAUUAGAUACCCCAGUAGUC